GAUGAACGCUAGCUACAGGCUUAACACAUGCAAGUCGAGGGGCAGCAUAUUCGAAGCCUGCUCUGAAUGAUGGCGACCGGCGCACGGGUGCGUAACGCGUAUGUAACCUGCCUGUCAGAAGGGGAUAACCCGGUGAAAGUCGGACUAAUACCCUAUAUGCUCACGAGAGGCGCCUGCCUUGGUGAGGAAAGAUUUAUCACUGACAGAUGGACAUGCGUCCCAUUAGCUGGUUGGUAGGGUAACGGCCUACCAAGGCAACGAUGGGUAGGGGAACUGAGAGGUUUAUCCCCCACAUUGGUACUGAGACACGGACCAA
RNAcentral lists this ribosomal RNA (316 nucleotides) under uncultured bacterium. Its description in RNAcentral is "bacterial SSU rRNA". It matches the Rfam family "Bacterial small subunit ribosomal RNA", at positions 28 to 334 of the family's 1533-position model. The record is from RNAcentral.